CGGAAUUACUGGGCGUAAAGGGCGCGUAGGCGGCCUGCUAAGUCACACGUGAAAUCCCUCGGCUCAACCGGGGAACUGCGUGUGAUACUGGCGGGCUUGAAUUCGGGAGAGGGAUGUGGAAUUCCAGGUGUAGCGGUGAAAUGCGUAGAUAUCUGGAGGAACACCGGUGGCGAAGGCGGCAUCCUGGACCGAGAUUGACGCUGAGGCGCGAAAGCUAGGGGAGCAAACGGG
Molecule: ribosomal RNA, 231 nt
Filed under: uncultured bacterium
Lineage: Bacteria
Description: partial 16S ribosomal RNA
Rfam family: Bacterial small subunit ribosomal RNA
Source: RNAcentral